This 187-nucleotide non-coding RNA is filed under the name Canis lupus familiaris (dog). RNAcentral describes it as "Eukaryotic large subunit ribosomal RNA". It matches the Rfam family "Eukaryotic large subunit ribosomal RNA", at positions 2137 to 2325 of the family's 3401-position model. The record is from Rfam by way of RNAcentral. RNAcentral also lists the same sequence under 1 other name. Lineage: Eukaryota; Metazoa; Chordata; Mammalia; Carnivora; Canidae.
ACUUUAUUUAAAAAUAACUAUGAAGCCCCUUGGUGAGUGUUGACACAAUGAGAUUUCUGCCCAGUGCUCUAAAUGUCAAAGUGAAGAAAUUCAAUGAAGACUGUGUUAAUGGUGGGAGUAACUAUGAUUCUCUUAAGGUAGCUAAAUGCCUCACCAACUAAAAAUUAGUGAUGCACACAAACAAGAU